Molecule: ribosomal RNA, 253 nt
Filed under: uncultured bacterium
Lineage: Bacteria
Description: partial 16S ribosomal RNA
Rfam family: Bacterial small subunit ribosomal RNA
Source: RNAcentral
UACGUAGGGGGCAAGCGUUGUCCGGAAUCAUUGGGCGUAAAGCGCGUGUAGGCGGCUCGGUAAGUCUGCUCUGAAAGCCCGGGGCUCAACCCUGGGAGGCGGGUGGAUACUGCUGAGCUCGAGUCCGGAAGAGGCGAGUGGAAUUCCUGGUGUAGCGGUGAAAUGCGCAGAUAUCAGGAGGAACACCAAUGGCGAAGGCAGCUCGCUGGGACGUGACUGACGCUGAGACGCGAAAGCGUGGGGAGCAAACAGG